This 75-nucleotide antisense RNA is filed under the name Streptomyces sp. SirexAA-E. RNAcentral describes it as "ASpks TB sRNA". It matches the Rfam family "ASpks TB sRNA". Lineage: Bacteria; Bacillati; Actinomycetota; Actinomycetes; Kitasatosporales; Streptomycetaceae. The record is from Rfam by way of RNAcentral. RNAcentral also lists the same sequence under 6 other names.
CUUGACCGAGCCGAGCCACAGCGGGCGUUCCUCGGUGUGCUCCGCGCCGUAGGUGGCGAUCAGGGCCUGCGCCUC